This 441-nucleotide ribosomal RNA is filed under the name uncultured bacterium. RNAcentral's name for it is "bacterial SSU rRNA". It matches the Rfam family "Bacterial small subunit ribosomal RNA", at positions 335 to 763 of the family's 1533-position model. The record is from RNAcentral.
ACUCCUACGGGAGGCAGCAGUGGGGAAUAUUGCACAAUGGGCGCAAGCCUGAUGCAGCCAUGCCGCGUGUGUGAAGAAGGCCUUCGGGUUGUAAAGCACUUUCAGUCGUGAGGAAGGUGGUAGUGUUAAUAGCACUAUCAUUUGUACGUUAGCGACAGAAGAAGCACCGGCUAACUCCGUGCCAGCAGCCGCGGUAAGUACGGAGGGUGCGAGCGUUAAUCGGAAUUACUGGGCGUAAAGCGCAUGCAGGUGGUUUGUUAAGUUCAGAUGUGAAAGCCCGGGGCUCAACCUCGGAAUAGCAUUUGAAACUGGCAGACUAGAGUACUGUAGAGGGGGUUAGGAAUUUCGAGGUGUAGCGGUGAAAUGCGUAGAGAUCUGAAGGUAAUACCGGUGGCGAAGGCGGCCCCUGGACAGAUACUGACACUCAGAUGCGAAAGGCGU